This is a long non-coding RNA of Anopheles merus, 676 nucleotides long. RefSeq lists it as uncharacterized. The record is from RefSeq and is a predicted model, not a curated record. The transcript is spliced from 3 exons. NCBI's taxonomy places the organism in Eukaryota, Metazoa, Arthropoda, Insecta, Diptera, Culicidae.
UUUUGGAGGAGGCGAGCCUGGAAACUGAUCCAGAAAGCGCGAAGCUACGAGACUCUUUGCGAACAUGGUUUAUUCGCAAUAAAGUUGCUCGUAGCGGGAGUAAUAAUUUACUAGGAAUACUGCGAAAAGCGUCUUCUCUUUCUGCUUUUUCAUCUAUUCCACAGGAUGUUAGGACAUUGCUGAAAGCUCCGGUUAACGUCAGCGAGCAGAUUACUAAGGUUCCUGGUGGAGGUGAAAUGUGGUACCAAGGCGUUGAAUGUUGUUUCAACAUUAUUUUCGCGAUGUGGACGUACUAGAGGAUGUGUUUGAGCUGAAUCUUUCAGUGGACGGAAUACCAAUAUAUAACCGCAGCGCAAUACAGAUGUGGCCUAUACUAAUGCAGUUGCACAAUAUGCCGAAUGUUCCUGUUAUGGUGGUUGGAAUAUUUUGCGGCACUUCUAAACCAAACGAUGUUGAGCCUUUCCUGAGACCUUUGGUGGAGGAACUAAAUAGGCUUCAUGAUCACAAAAUGAACCUAAACGGCAAAAAAAAUAACUGUUUCGGUUAUAGUCAUAAUCGCUGACUCGCCUGCACGCGCAUUUAUUAAACAAGUUUGCUACUACAACGGAGUACAUGGGUGUUUAAAAUGUAAAUGCUGUGGUACUUCCCUAAAAACACCAAAAAAAGUUAUUUUCGA